RNAcentral lists this ribosomal RNA (403 nucleotides) under Verrucomicrobiota bacterium. RNAcentral describes it as "Verrucomicrobia bacterium partial 16S ribosomal RNA". It matches the Rfam family "Bacterial small subunit ribosomal RNA", at positions 355 to 776 of the family's 1533-position model. Lineage: Bacteria; Pseudomonadati; Verrucomicrobiota. The record is from RNAcentral.
UGGGGAAUAUUGCACAAUGGGGGAAACCCUGAUGCAGCGACGCCGCGUGAGCGAAGAAGGCUUUCGAGUCGUAAAGCUCUGUCCUAUGAGAAGAUAAUGACGGUAUCAUAGGAGGAAGCCCUGGCUAAAUACGUGCCAGCAGCCGCGGUAAUACGUAUGGGGCGAGCGUUGUCCGGAAUUAUUGGGCGUAAAGGGUACGUAGGCGGUUUUUUAAGUCAGGUGUCAAAGCGUGGAGCUUAACUCCAUUAAGCACUUGAAACUGAAAGACUUGAGUGAAGGAGAGGAAAGUGGAAUUCCUAGUGUAGCGGUGAAAUGCGUAGAUAUUAGGAGGAAUACCGGUGGCGAAGGCAGCUUACGGGAGCGCAACUGACGCUGAAGCUCGAAGGUGCGGGUAUCGAACAGG